This 469-nucleotide ribosomal RNA is filed under the name uncultured bacterium. Its description in RNAcentral is "bacterial SSU rRNA". It matches the Rfam family "Bacterial small subunit ribosomal RNA", at positions 23 to 518 of the family's 1533-position model. The record is from RNAcentral.
CUCAGGAUGAACGCUGGCGGCGUGCCUAACACAUGCAAGUCGAGCGAUUCUCUUCGGAGAAGAGCGGCGGACGGGUGAGUAACGCGUGGGUAACCUGCCUCAUACACAUGGAUAACAUACCGAAAGGUAUGCUAAUACAGGAUAAUAUAAGAGAUUCACAUGGAUUUCUUAUCAAAGCUCCGGCGGUAUGAGAUGGACCCGCGUCUGAUUAGCUAGUUGGUAAGGUAACGGCUUACCAAGGCGACGAUCAGUAGCCGACCUGAGAGGGUGAUCGGCCACAUUGGAACUGAGACACGGUCCAAACUCCUACGGGAGGCAGCAGUGGGGAAUAUUGCACAAUGGGCGAAAGCCUGAUGCCAGCAACGCCGCGUGAGUGAUGAAGGCCUUCGGGUCGUAAAACUCUGUCCUCAAGGAAGAUAAUGACGGUACUUGAGGAGGAAGCCCCGGCUAACUACGUGCCAGCAGCCGC